CUGCCAUCAGCUGUGUGCACAAGCUGAGUGCAUAAGUUAAGGUUCCCCAAUGCUGUCACGAAUAUAUACAACCCUUCGUUUCGUCACUUGGAACAUUCGUGGGGUUAAAAGCACCCGGAAUUUACCAAAAAAGUUUGCAAAUGUGUUGAGCAACCUCAAUAACCUUCAGGCUGAUAUUGCCUUCAUACAAGAAACACAUAUUGGACCAAAGUGUUACAAAAUAUUGGAAGAUGAGACAGGAAAAGACUGGAAAAUCUUUUUCACUGUGCACAGCUCCCGCAGCAAAGGAGUUGCCAUACUGAUAAGAGACAAAGUACCAUUUGAGUGCAU
Molecule: long non-coding RNA, 330 nt
Organism: Ictalurus punctatus (channel catfish)
Lineage: Eukaryota; Metazoa; Chordata; Actinopteri; Siluriformes; Ictaluridae
Source: Ensembl